GCGGACCGCGCUCCGGGCCGGGGGCGUGGCCUGGGGGUGGCGAGCGCUCCGGAGCGGGGGAUAGAGGGAGAGGCGGGCUGGGGGCGUGGCUUGGGCGUGGCCCGAGAGCCGGGCCGGGGGCGUGGCCCGGGCGGGCGGGGGCGUGGCCCGGGCGGGCGGGGGCGUGGCCCGGGCGGGCGGGGGCGUGGCCCGGGGAGCCGGGCGGCCGCGGCGCAGGCGGGAUUCGGCGGCGCGCUUUCUCUAGCGGCCGCCCCGCCCGCCGCCAGCCGGGAGGCAGCGCACCGGGGCAGAGGCUCCUGCGAGGGAGCCCGGCGUGCUCCGAGCUCCGCGAGACCGGGAGCGGCCCCGUCUCGUAUCCACUGGCUCCGGAGGCUCCGCCGAGUGGGGGCCGCGCGAGGUGAGGCUGCCGCUGGGCGCGCGGCUGUGCGGGGCACGCGCGGGGCUGGGGCCGGCGGCCGGGGCUGUUCGCGGGGCCCCCGGAGGGGAAUUAGCCCCGAUCGACGGCCUGAAGCCCGAGGACGCCCUGCGCGUCCUCCUGGGCGCUUCUCGGGGCCGCCGGGCUGCCCACCUGUUGGUGCCCUGCGGUGCUGGCUUGGCGGCCCCCUCCCCUCCCCGCCCCUUCCCUCCCGGUCCCGGUCCCGGUCCCGGUCCCCGGCCCCGUCCCCGUCCCCGUCCCGGGCUCGGCCAGCGCCGUGGCCCCGGGGAGCGCGUGCGGGCGGUGCUCCUGGAGCAGGCCGUCUGCCCCACGACCCGUGCGGGGAUCACCCUGAAACUUUACCCCGCGCUCCCGACCCGCCGGGCCUGGCCUUCGAGGUCGCGCGGGGCGCCCGGGGCGGCCUCCGUUCCCGCCCGUCCCGGCUCGGCGCCCUCGGGAGGCGCGCCCGGAGCCGCCGCAGCUGCGGCCCUACGGGGCUGGCGGUCGCAGGACUUAGUUUUGGAAGCAAGUUUCUCCGCGGGUCCCCGCUGGGUCUCGUUUCGCGAGGCAGCCGGGAGGACCCGGUGUCGGUCGCCUCUGACUCGGCGGGCACGGCCGGAGGCGGUUUGGUUCCAGCUGCGGUUGACGUGUGCGGGAAUUUGCAUACUAAUUUGCAUACCGGGAAGGUAGCAGCCGGCCCCGCUGCCCGCGUCAGGGGGAACUCAGGUGACCUGUGCCGCCGGCCACCGUCUGUGCGAAGUCGCCGCGCCUGA
RNAcentral lists this long non-coding RNA (1188 nucleotides) under Canis lupus familiaris (dog). RNAcentral's name for it is "lncRNA (ENSCAFG00040023117.1)". Lineage: Eukaryota; Metazoa; Chordata; Mammalia; Carnivora; Canidae. The record is from RNAcentral.